GUGAAAAUGCCUACCUUAUAGGGUUGGUGUGAGGAUAGGUGAGUUCAUAUACAGAAAACACUGUCACAUAGAAGGUACUGCCAGAGAGUUUGCCAUCAUUAUUAUUAUGGUCACCAUUGUUAUUGUUUUCUGCCCUGGGAAACCUCUUGAAUAGGGAAUCUGUUAGAGCCUGAAUGCACUUUACAUGAGCCCCAAAGAAGGUCUAAGGACCCAGGGAAAAUAAAAUUGAGAAGAAGUAGAAGGAGAGUAAAGCUCCUAUGCAGAUUUUCUUGGACAGAUUUUCACUGUUUUUGAAAGCUUUUCACACUAUUCCACCACAUUCUACCUUACCUGUAACCCUUAUCAAAAUGCCCUGACCCAUUGAACCAGGCUGCUUCCAAGCACAUUCAAACCCUGCCUUUAGCCCAAUAUUUUGAAGCAACAUUGGCUACAACAACAUUUGGCCCUUCUCUCUCUUAGUUAUUGUGGGUUUUUCUCAGAAUAUUUUAGAUGAUUUUAGAUUUAGAUUUAGAUUUUAGAUGUGCCCUUCCUUUUGGCAUAUGACAGGGUUACACCUCUCGCCCACCUUGGGGGGUUGGUUGGGGUUAAGUGACUAGUUCUGGCCAAUGAGUUGUGAAAGCCAGUGAAGUGUAUCACUUGCAGGCUGAAGCAUUUAAUGGCCGGUGCAGUUGGAGAGGGCAACAGUUCCAUCAGCCUGCAUCCCUCAGUGGCUUUCAUAAUUGAAUGGUAUAUGUGGUAUGACUCUGUUUAUGUUACUAAAUAUAUAUUAUAUUCAUAAAACUUCUGGAAGGAUAUUCACUAAGCCCAUAGUAGUGGCUCUGUCUAUGGGGGUAAGAUUGCCGGGGUGCAGGGAGGAACUCUUCCACUUUCUAGUGUCUUGCUGGACUUCUUAUAAGAAGCAUUCAUUAUCUGUGUGAUAGUAGUAGUAAUGGCUAUUGUUCAUUGAGCACUUACGAAGUGCCAAGGAUGCCGCUAAGUUCAUGUGACAAUCUUCACAAUGUAACACCAGGAAGAAGGGUUUUUUUUGUUUGCUUGUUUGUUUUUGUUUUUUGUUUUUUAUCAUCCCUAUUUAAUGAAGAGAAAAUGGAAGAACAGAGAGGUUAAGUAAUUUGUCCCAAGUCACAGAGCUACGAAGUGUCAGACUCGGGAUUUGAACCCAGUUAGUUUAGCUACAUGAUGCGUGCUCUUAGUCACUGCACUACAAUCUAAAUAAUACUGAUUCUUUUUUUUUUUUUUUUU
RNAcentral lists this long non-coding RNA (1239 nucleotides) under Homo sapiens (human). RNAcentral's name for it is "HSALNT0369946". The record is from RNAcentral. Lineage: Eukaryota; Metazoa; Chordata; Mammalia; Primates; Hominidae.